AUGCUAACUUUGACGGCAUGGAGUCUAAAAUUGGAAUGAUGCAGAAAAGAUGCAUGGCCCUUGCUCAGGGACAACAUGCAAAUUCAUGAAGCAUUCUCUCUCUCU
Dromiciops gliroides (monito del monte) is the source of this 105-nucleotide small nuclear RNA. Lineage: Eukaryota; Metazoa; Chordata; Mammalia; Microbiotheria; Microbiotheriidae. The record is from RefSeq and is a predicted model, not a curated record.